GGUUUUGGUUGGUUACCAGGGAUGCGGUUUGGUUGCCUUCCACUGGCUCCUGGUAGGGUAGUGGGAGGAGCAUCCUCCCUUUCCUCCCCCUGCUGAAGCGUGUGUGAAUGUGAGGACUGUUCCUUGCUCAUUUUUUGAGUAGCUGCAGGUAUCAGCAUCUGCCUGUGUGAGUGUGUGUGUGUGUGUGUGUGUGUGUGUGUGUGUGUGUGUGUGUGUGUGUGUGUGUGUGUGUGAGAGAGAGUGUAUGAUAGAGAAAGAGUAAGAGAGAGAGGCAAGCAGGGCCUCACCCCCCACCCCAGCUUUCCUGUCUCCUUCCUCCCUGUCCCUCAUUUCUUUCUCUCUUCCUGGACCACCCAUCUAUAACCGGACCCCCCUGGACCACCCUGGACUCUCUGCCCAAAGGCCUUUUGAUGCUCUGUCCCACCCUGAAGGUUGAACAGAAGAAAUCACCUUUUGAACCUCCCAUCUCAGACAGGAAGCCUCAGCCAUAA
This 491-nucleotide long non-coding RNA is filed under the name Scleropages formosus (Asian bonytongue). RNAcentral describes it as "lncRNA (ENSSFOG00015032248.1)". The record is from RNAcentral. Lineage: Eukaryota; Metazoa; Chordata; Actinopteri; Osteoglossiformes; Osteoglossidae.